Molecule: non-coding RNA, 74 nt
Organism: Potamilus streckersoni
Lineage: Eukaryota; Metazoa; Mollusca; Bivalvia; Unionida; Unionidae
Source: the annotation of a GenBank genome assembly
GCUUCUGUGGCCUAAGUAAUUAGAGCGUCCGUCUCGAAUGCGGGAGGUCAUGGGUUCGAACCCCGACCGAGCCA